CGUGGUGUAGCGGUGAAAUGCAUAGAUAUCACGCAGAACUCCGAUUGUGAAGGCAGCAUACCGGCGCCCAACUGACGCUCAUGCACGAAAGCGUGGGUAUCGAACAGGAUUAGAUACCCUGGUAGUCCACGCAGUAAACGAUGAAUACUAACUGUCCGGUCCGAAUGAGGACUGGGUGGUACAGCGAAAGCGUUAAGUAUUCCACCUGGGGAGUACGCCGGCAACGGUGAAACUCAAAGGAAUUGACGGGGGCCCGCACAAGCGGAGGAACAUGUGGUUUAAUUCGAUGAUACGCGAGGAACCUUACCCGGGCUCAAACGACACAGGAAUACUUUUGAAAGGAGGUAGCUCUACGGAGCCUGUGUCGAGGUGCUGCAUGGUUGUCGUCAGCUCGUGCCGUGAGGUGUCGGCUUAAGUGCCAUAACGAGCGCAACCCCCAUCGCCAGUUACCAUCAAGUAAAGUUGGGGACUCUGGCGAGACUGCCGGCGCAAGCUGUGAGGAAGGCGGGGAUGACGUCAAAUCAGCACGGCCCUUACGUCCGGGGCGACACACGUGUUACAAUGGCAGGUACAGAGAGAAGCGACAUGGCGACAUGAAGCGGAACUGUCAAAACCUGUCUCAGUUCGGAUUGGAGUCUGCAACCCGACUCCAUGAAGCUGGAUUCGCUAGUAAUCGCGCAUCAGCCACGGCGCGGUGAAUACGUUCCCGGGCCUUGCACACACCGCCCGUCAAG
This 734-nucleotide ribosomal RNA is filed under the name uncultured bacterium. RNAcentral describes it as "bacterial SSU rRNA". It matches the Rfam family "Bacterial small subunit ribosomal RNA", at positions 669 to 1401 of the family's 1533-position model. The record is from RNAcentral.